UCAAAUAGAGAAGAGCACGAGGUGAAUGCCUUGGCACAUGUGGCCGAAGAAGGACGCUUAAAGAGCGAUAGCUGCGGGGAGCACAAAAGGCAAUGAUCCGUAGGUUUCCGAAUGGAGAAAUCCGGCAGGAAAGAAACCUGUCAUCCUAUAGCCAAUACAUAACUAUAGGAGGGGAUACCCGGCGAACUGAAACAUCUCAGUAACCGGAGGAAGAGAAAGAAAAAUUCGAUUCCCCCAGUAGCGGCGAGCGAAGAGGGAAGAGGCCGACAGUGAGUAAUAUCCCAAAGUCCAGUCGAAGGAUCUGGAAAGAUCCACCGAAGAAGGUAAUAGUCCUGUAGAUGAAAGAUAGAGGGAUAGUCACGAGAGAGUACCAUCGAACACGAGAAAUUUGGUGGGAAGACGGGAGGACCACCUCCCAAGCCUAAAUACCAACAUGUGACCGAUAGCGAACAAGUACCGUGAGGGAAAGGUGAAAAGAACCCCGGAAGGGGAGUGAAAUAGAAUCUGAAACCGAGUGCUUACAAGCAGAUAGAGGGGUUAUAACUACCCUGAUAUCGUACUUUUUGUAGAACGGGCCAGCGAGUUAUGUUCAUAAGCGAGGUUAAGUCUUUAAGAGACGGAGCCGGAGGGAAACCGAGUGUUAAUAGCGCAGAAGUUUGUGGACAUAGACCCGAAACCGGGUGAUCUAGCCAUGAGCAGGUUGAAGUAGAAGUAAAAUUCUAUGGAGGACCGAACCGGGUGUGGUUUAAAACACAUCGGAUGACUUGUGGUUAGGGGUGAAAAGCCAAUCGAACCCGGAGAUAGCUGGUUCUCCUCGAAACCACUUUAGGGUGGGCCUCAUAUAGAAGGAUAAAGGGAGGUAGAGCACUGAAUGGUCGCGGGGCAUAUUAUGCUACCAACACCUAUCAAACUAUCGAAUUCCGUUUAUCAAGUAUGGGAGUUAGACUGUGUGGGAUAAGCUUCACAGUCGAAAGGGAAACAGCCCAGACCGCCGGCUAAGGUCCCAAAAUCAUGUUCAGUGGAAAAGGAGGUCAUUCUACUCAGACAACCAGGACGUUGGCUCAGAAGCAGCCAUGCAUUGAAAGAGUGCGUAAUAGCUCACUGGUCGAGUGGAGUGGCGCCGAAGAUACACGGGGCUAAACAUGAUACCGAAGCCGCGGGAUGAUCGAGGCGAAAAGUAUUUGUAGUUAAUUAAGAGAUUAAUAGACGCUCAAGAAGCUUAGAUAAGGCUAGAAAUAUCGAAAAAGCAAAUUUUCUAAAUGAAAGACACGUUUAGAGAUAUUGAGGAAAAAGCCAAUAAUGGAAAAAUUAUCCCAAGAUAUUUUUAGACAAUUUCUAAGGAGAAAAGAGCGCGUAAGAACUAUGAAUACUUUUCGCCUCAAUGAUCGGUAGAGGAGCAUUGUAUGGACGACGAAGCAAAAGGAGAAAUCCCUUGUGGAGUGCAUACAAGAGAGAAUGCUGGCAUGAGUAGCGAGAAGGUGAGUGAGAAUCUCACCCGUCGAAAGCCGAAGGUUUCCUGAGCAAGGCUCGUCCUCUCAGGGUAAGUCGGGACCUAAGCCGAGGCCGAAGGGCGUAGGCGAUGGACAUCCGGUGGAAAUUCCGGAACUACGAGUAUUCGUUUGAGAGAAGUGUUGACGCAGAGGGCUAAUGUGAGCGAGCGGAAGGAAGAGCUCGUCUAAGGCAGUAGGUAAGAUCGAUAGGUAAAUCCGUUGAUUGAUACUGAGAGCUGAUGGGGAUCGAAAAACAAGUAGAGAAGCACAUGAUGCCGGGCUGCCGAGAAAAGACGCUAUCGAGAAUACAAGUACCCGUACCAAAACCGACACAGGUUGGCAGGAAGAGAAUUCUAAGACGCGCGGAAGAACCUUUGUUAAGGAACUCGGCAAAAUAGCCCCGUAACUUCGGGAGAAGGGGUGCCAUGUAGAGGUAGAACUAAACGUUCGAGAAGACGCAUGGCCGCAGUGAAUAGGCCCAAGCGACUGUUUACCAAAAACACAAGUAUCUGCAAAGCCGUAAGGCGAAGUAUAGGUGCUGACACCUGCCCGGUGCUGGAAGGUCAAGGGGAAGCGUUAGCGCAAGCGAAGCGUAGAACUUAAGCCCCAGUAAACGGCGGCCGUAACUAUAACGGUCCUAAGGUAGCGAAAUUCCUUGUCGGGUAAGUUCCGACCCGCACGAAAGGUGUAACGAUUUGGGCACUGUCUCAACAAAGGAUCCGGUGAAAUUGUAGUAGUCGUAAAGAUGCGACUUACCCACGCUAGGACGGAAAGACCCCAUGGAGCUUUACUGCAGGCUGACAUUGAGUUUUGGUUUGUGAUGUACAGGAUAGGUGGGAGACUGAGAACUACAGUCGUCAGACGGUAGGGAGUCGCCCUUUGGAUACCACCCUUUACAGACUAGAAUUCUAACCUAGGUCCGUGAUCCGGAUCGGGGACACUGUCAGUUGGACAGUUUGACUGGGGCGGUCGCCUCCUAAAGAGUAACGGAGGCGUUCAAAGGUUCGCUCAGGAUGGACGGAAACCAUUCAAAGAGUGUAAAGGCAGAAGCGAGCUUAACUGCGAGAGCCACAACUCAAGCAGAUGCGAAAGCAGGACUUAGUGAUCCGGCGGCACCGAGUGGAAGGGCCGUCGCUUAACGGAUAAAAGCUACCCUGGGGAUAACAGGCUUAUACCCCCCAAGAGUUCACAUCGACGGGGGUGUUUGGCACCUCGAUGUCGGCUCGUCUCAUCCUGGAGCUGGAGCAGGUUCCAAGGGUUGGGCUGUUCGCCCAUUAAAGAGGUACGCGAGCUGGGUUCAGAACGUCGUGAGACAGUUCGGUCCCUAUCCAGCGUGGGCGUUAGAAAUUUGAGAGGAGCUGUCCCUAGUACGAGAGGACCGGGAUGGACGGACCAAUGGUGUACCGGUUGUUCUGCCAAGAGCAUAGCCGGGUAGCUAAGUCCGGAACGGAUAAGCACUGAAGGCAUCUAAGUGCGAAGCCGCCCUCAAGACCAGAUUUCUGAAAGAGACCGCACAGAAAAUGCGGUUGAUAGGUUCAAGGUGUAAGUGUAGUAAUACACUAAGCUGAUGAAUACUAAUAUCUCGAAAAUUUGACCAG
This 3088-nucleotide ribosomal RNA is filed under the name Khoudiadiopia massiliensis. RNAcentral describes it as "bacterial LSU rRNA". It matches the Rfam family "Bacterial large subunit ribosomal RNA". The record is from RNAcentral. Lineage: Bacteria; Bacillati; Bacillota; Tissierellia; Tissierellales; Peptoniphilaceae.